RNAcentral lists this unclassified non-coding RNA (410 nucleotides) under Acacia crispula. RNAcentral's name for it is "partial external transcribed spacer". Lineage: Eukaryota; Viridiplantae; Streptophyta; Magnoliopsida; Fabales; Fabaceae. The record is from RNAcentral.
CGAACGGCCGGCAGGCGAUCCGCGUCGGUUGCGCGAGGUGGUGUUAUGUAUGGUUACWCAGAGGCCGGUUCUUGUGUUGCCUACCCUUUCAGGGGAAGCGCGUGCCACUUGAUGUAGCCUCCAUCCGGCGCCCUCCAGCGGGCGCCGGAGGACAGCGGAGCACCCCCCGCGUUCCACCGAGNNYCCGUCGGUCGCGUGGCAAGCGGGGACGUGCGAUGCUCUCGGACCCAGCGCACGCCGUGGGCGAGGACUCGCGUCCCAGUCCCAAGUGAAAGCUUCGAUGCAAUGUACGACGGCCGCUCCCGCCCCCGACCGCCCCGGCGGCGCGAGGGCGAGGCGCGGCGUCGCGGAGGAAUGUUACCUGGUUGAUCCUGCCAGUAGUCAUAUGCUUGUCUCAAAGAUUAAACCAU